CCCUCGGUAGUCUAUUUGGUCAUGACAUUCGACUAUAAUUAGAUGUGAUUGUCUAUCGAAAAGUCACCGGUUCGAUUCCGGUCCGAGGGA
Molecule: non-coding RNA, 90 nt
Organism: Rostrohypoxylon terebratum
Lineage: Eukaryota; Fungi; Ascomycota; Sordariomycetes; Xylariales; Hypoxylaceae
Source: the annotation of a GenBank genome assembly